AGGUAUAUCAGAAGCCAACCUAAUAAAAAUGUUAGCAUUUGCUCGUAAAAAUUUGAUCAUUUUCUCUCUUAAGUCAGGUUUAAAAUUCACACCGAUCUGGACCAUUUUUUUUGGAUCAUCUCCCAAAAGAAUGGCUUCAAAUAUUUUUGUCAGUUUAUCUUGAAUUUUUUUGACCUCAUCCAACGCAUCUGGUAUAUCAACUGGCACAGUUUUCGCUGGUCAGUUUAUUUUAGCAAAAAUCAUAAAAUACUGUCAUGCCACCG
This 263-nucleotide long non-coding RNA is filed under the name Elaeis guineensis (African oil palm). Its description in RNAcentral is "long non-coding RNA (EGUI_LNC072257)". The record is from RNAcentral. Lineage: Eukaryota; Viridiplantae; Streptophyta; Magnoliopsida; Arecales; Arecaceae.